Equus caballus (horse) is the source of this 2457-nucleotide long non-coding RNA. The record is from Ensembl. NCBI's taxonomy places the organism in Eukaryota, Metazoa, Chordata, Mammalia, Perissodactyla, Equidae.
AUGGGAGCUCUUCCAGUAACUUCUAUCCAUUUUAUCACUUUGUCAUUGGUCAUUGACUUCAGAAUUUGAAAUCUGUGAAGUGGGGUGCUGGGAACGUCAGUAGCUGAAUAAAGAUUAUCCACAUUUCCCGCAGGAACUGUGACUUACUGUAGCACUAAACAAAUCCUGGUGCUCUGUUGAUGCUACAUAAUAAAUUUAAAUAAGUUGCCCCUAAUACGAAUGUGGCUGAGAAAAAAAAUUGAUAGAAAAUUGAGCCAGUUUUCAUUCCAAGACUGACCAUUCAGGUUCUGUUUUAUUCCUCUGUCUCCCAGGAGGGGUAUGAUUUCAGGAACAAGAGAACCAUUUUCCCUUACAAUUAGCAAAGCAGCAAUUCUUCUCCAACAUUUUCCAAGUUGAUGCUGUGAAGAGAGCACUGUAGUAAAGUCUUGCUGUGCAAUCUUGGGCAAAUCACCUCACUAGGCCUCAGUCCCUCUACUAGAAAAAUAAAAGCACGAGAUGAGAUCUCUAAAUGUCCAUCCAACCCUAAAGCUUUCCACUUCUAAAACUUGCAAUUGAGAAAAAAUGAAAAUUAAAAACAGAAAGCCAAACUGAAGAGCCCAGCCAGCCAGAGUGACGAGCGAUGGUGAGGUGCACAGCUCUAUGGGUUGCCUGUGGUGGAGUGUAUUAUUGUUCCCAAUUACUCAACCCCCUGCCUGGAAGAGGAUUAUACAGUCACGUGCUGCACAACAACAUUUGGGUCAACAACAAACCCCAUACACGACGCCGGUCCCAUAAGAUUAGUACCACACAGCCUAGGUGUGUAGCAAGCUGUAUCAUCUAGCUUUGUGUAAGUGCACUCCAAGAUGUUCACACAACGAUGAAAUUCCCUAACAAUGCAUUCCUUAGAACAUAUCCCCAUCGUUAAGCGACAUAUGACUGUACAUCUCUAUCCACGGCCAUGUGACGCCUUGUGGAGAGAAUAAUAUUUCCCAGUUCCACUGACAAAGGGUUUGGCCAUACAACUUGUUUUGGCCAGUGGAACACAACAGAAAUGAUGUAUGGGACAUCUGAAAAGAAGUUUUAAGGGCCUGAGUGUUUCAAAGCCUUCUUGCUCUUUUCCUUAUGUCCUGAAAACAGGGGUAACUGCAGGUACCAUAGAUCUCAAAAUGAGAUAAUGCAGGGAGCUGAAUCACAGCCAAAACAGAGCUGCAGAUGAUGUGUGAACAAGAAAUAUACUUUUGUUAUUGCAAGCCACAGAAAUUUUGGAGUUAUUUCAUUACCUCAGUCUUACCUAGAGAAAGCUGACUGAUCCACCACCCUCCACUGGGCAUAUGUGAUAAAUACUCAAAGAAUGACAAGGAUGGCUUGGCUAAUGUGUGACCUAAGAAUGAAAGCUCCUGACAGCAGUAACCUUGUAAUUCAGACAGUAUGAUAGACAUCAGAAAUAUACAACUAUUCAAAUCUGUAGCACAAGCUGCCUCCCAUAGGAAUUUGGGGCUGGCAUGACACCACCAUUAUAGUCAUGCCCUCAAAACACCAUACAUCUCAUUGGAGUCCAGUGUGGUGAGAGGGACCCUGAACUUGCCAUCCAGAGGCCCGAGGCAGCUCCCACUUGCUGAAUUCCUUUAGGUUUGCAGGAAACCUAGAUCCUAUCACUGGAGCCAAAUCAUGCGACCUUUGAAAUCUCAUGGUUCUCAAUUCAGAGAGGUCAUCCCCAUAGGCCAGACUGUGCUUAUAUGUUUUUUGUAAUUGUUCACCUAAUGAAAACACAGUAUUUAAACAUUUCUCAAAGGACAAAUAGAUUUUGUAGCUCAGUAUGAGAAACACUGGAUUCAAUGAUCUGUAAGGUUCCUUUCAGCUCUGAAAUAAAUCAGUCUUAAAGCAUUACCUAAUCUGGACAUAAUUUUCCUCACCAUUUCACAGGUGCAUAUCACAUCUAUUAGUGGCACACAUGAACUUGACGCAGCAAAUUAGUGCAGAAAAACAGAUGCAUCUUCCAAGUGAACUGACAGAAUAACUUAGGUAUGAUGAACAUGGUUAUAAGGCAAACCUGCCCCUAGUUAUCAGUCUUUGUUCAGUGAGUAAUGCAGAUGUUACUUUAAGAGAAAAAAAAAAAUCAGAGAACUAAUCAGAUUUACAAUCUGUGAACAUAGUCAAAAUAAAGGGCUCAAAUUUUUUUUUCAUUCUUAUAUGGCCUGAGGGCAAUAGCCAAAAGAAAUUACUAUUAAGUGUGAGUAAUGCAAAAUAGAUUGUGUGAAUUUCCAUCUGAAAUGUGUGAAUUUAAUAUACAACUGCAAAUUAAGAAGUGCCUUUUGAUUCAUAAAGUAGGCCUGGUUCAUAAGUGGAAAACAUUCUAUCCUAUAGACAACUCCAAGAUGGACUAACAGACUGCAUGCGGACCUGGAAAAAUGGAGGGCUUUCAUAGCACCAAGAAGAUAUUGUGACUGCAGCGCUGUGUCAUCAUCCACGGCACAUAAA